UUGGGAAUCUUGCACAAUGGGGGAAACCCUGAUGCAGCGACGCCGCGUGGAGGACGAAGGAUCUAGGUCUGUAAACUCCUUUUAUCGGGAAAGACUUAGGACGGUACCCGAUGAAUAAGCACCGGCUAACUACGUGCCAGCAGCCGCGGUAAGACGUAGGGUGCAAGCGUUGUCCGGAUUUACUGGGCGUAAAGAGCGCGUAGGCGGUCUGUUAAGUGUGAAGUGAAAUCUCCAGGGCUCAACCCGGAAACUGCUUCGCAUACUGGCAGGCUGGAGGAACGGAGAGGUGAGUGGAAUUCCUGGUGUACCGGUGAAAUGGGUUGAUAUCAGGAGGAACACCGAUGGCGAAGGCAGCUCACUGGCCGUUAUCUGACGCUGAGGCGCGAAAGCGUGGGUAGCAAACAGG
RNAcentral lists this ribosomal RNA (406 nucleotides) under uncultured bacterium. Its description in RNAcentral is "bacterial SSU rRNA". It matches the Rfam family "Bacterial small subunit ribosomal RNA", at positions 355 to 776 of the family's 1533-position model. The record is from RNAcentral.